Molecule: ribosomal RNA, 253 nt
Filed under: uncultured bacterium
Lineage: Bacteria
Description: partial 16S ribosomal RNA
Rfam family: Bacterial small subunit ribosomal RNA
Source: RNAcentral
GCAAGUCGAACGAGAACGGGUUAUAGUUUACUAUAACUGUCAGCUAAGUGGCGCACGGGUGAGUAAUAUAUAGGUAACGUGCCCUAGAGAGGGAUAACGUUUGGAAACGGACGCUAAUACCUCAUAUGCCUUUAAUACAUAAGUAUGCAAGGGAAACAUUUAUGGCUCUAGGAUGGGACUGUACGGUAUCAGUUAGUUGGUGAGGUAAUGGCUCACCAAGACAAUGACACCUAACUGGUUUGAGAGGAUGAUC